This 74-nucleotide transfer RNA is filed under the name Eubacterium sp. RNAcentral's name for it is "tRNA-Met". It matches the Rfam family "tRNA". From Rfam's summary of the family: Transfer RNA (tRNA) molecules are approximately 80 nucleotides in length. Their secondary structure includes four short double-helical elements and three loops (D, anti-codon, and T loops). Further hydrogen bonds mediate the characteristic L-shaped molecular structure. tRNAs have two regions of fundamental functional importance: the anti-codon, which is responsible for specific mRNA codon recognition, and the 3' end, to which the tRNAs corresponding amino acid is attached (by aminoacyl-tRNA synthetases). tRNAs cope with the degeneracy of the genetic code in two manners: having more than one tRNA (with a specific anti-codon) for a particular amino acid; and 'wobble' base-pairing, i.e. permitting non-standard base-pairing at the 3rd anti-codon position. Lineage: Bacteria; Bacillati; Bacillota; Clostridia; Eubacteriales; Eubacteriaceae. RNAcentral also lists the same sequence under 2 other names. The record is from RNAcentral.
GGCGAGAUAGCUUAGCUGGCUAGAGCGUCCGGUUCAUACCCGGAAGGUCAGCGGUUCGAAUCCGCUUCUCGCUA